This is a small nuclear RNA of Perognathus longimembris pacificus (Pacific pocket mouse), 200 nucleotides long. RefSeq annotates it as U2 spliceosomal RNA. The transcript has a single exon. NCBI's taxonomy places the organism in Eukaryota, Metazoa, Chordata, Mammalia, Rodentia, Heteromyidae. The record is from RefSeq and is a predicted model, not a curated record.
CUCUCUCUCUCAACAAAAUCACUUCGGGUUAAAAUCAAGUGAAGUAUCUGUUCUCACCAGUUUAAUAACUGAUAUAUUUUCUAUCCAAAAACAAUAUACUAAAUAAGAUUUUUGGAGCAGGAAGAUGGCAUAGGAGCUUGCUCCAUUCACUUCACACUCAGACAUGGCAUUGUAGUACCUCCAAGUACAGUGUACCCCCU